RNAcentral lists this ribosomal RNA (486 nucleotides) under uncultured bacterium. RNAcentral's name for it is "partial 16S ribosomal RNA". It matches the Rfam family "Bacterial small subunit ribosomal RNA", at positions 29 to 507 of the family's 1533-position model. The record is from RNAcentral.
AUUGAACGCUGGCGGCAUGCCUUACACAUGCAAGUCGAACGGCAGCACGGGGGUUUGCCCCGGGGGGCGAGUGGCGAACGGGUGAGUAAUACAUGGGAACAGGUCCGUUGGUGGGGGAAAGCCCGCCGAAAGCCGGAUUAAAACCGCAAACGAUCAACGGAGGAAAGGGGGGGACUUUGGGGCUUCGGGCUUUUGGGUGGGCGGAUGGCUGAUUAGCUAGUGGGUGGGGUAAAGGCCUACCAAGGCGACGAUCAGUAGCUGGUCUGAGAGGACGACCAGCCACACUGGGACUGAGACACGGCCCAGACUCCUACGGGAGGCAGCAGUGGGGAAUUUUGGACAAUGGGCGAAAGCCUGAUCCAGCAAUGCCGCGUGUGUGAAGAAGGCCUUCGGGUUGUAAAGCACUUUUGUCCGGAAAGAAAUCCUUGGCCCUAAUACGGUCGGGGGAUGACGGUACCGGAAGAAUAAGCACCGGCUAACUACGUG